Molecule: ribosomal RNA, 354 nt
Filed under: uncultured bacterium
Lineage: Bacteria
Description: partial 16S ribosomal RNA
Rfam family: Bacterial small subunit ribosomal RNA
Source: RNAcentral
CCUACGGGCGGCAGCAGUCGAGAAUCAUUCACAAUGGGGGAAACCCUGAUGGGGCGACGCCGCGUGGGGGAAUGAAGGUCUGCGGAUUGUAAACCCCUGUCAUGUGGGAGCAAAUUAAAAAGAGAGUACCACAAGAGGAAGAGACGGCUAACGCUGUGCCAGCAGCCGCGGUAAUACAGAGGUCUCAAGCGUUGUUCGGAAUCACUGGGCGGAAAGCGUGCGGAGGCUGUUUCGUAAGUCGUGUGUGAAAGGCGCGGGCUCAACCCGCGGACGGCACAUGAUACUGCGAGACUAGAGUAAUGGAGGGCGAACCGGAAUUCUCGGUGUCGCCGUGACAUGCGUAGAUAUCGAGAG